AGCGUGGCGGAGAGGGAGAGGACAUCAAAGCGGCCGUCUUCUUUCUGUGGCUGAACCAAGGCCAGGGCUUCGACCACGUCGCUUCCGCCCGGGAUUUCUAAACGAAAAAGGGGUCAUAGCGGUCUCGGGCUCCUGAGUGGCGGUUUGGGCUUGUUUUUGGAGCCGGGAGGGCGGCCCCUGGGGCGCCUGACCACUUCAAUUGUGGCCCCGUCGCCGGCGGAGGCGGCGUUGGGGCGGGCGUGGUGGUCCACGGGCGUUUGACAUUCCCGCGAGAAUUGAAAAAGUUGGUGGAUUCUUCUUGUAUAGAAAGAAAGCGCUAGUUUAGUUUUACCGGAUUUGUGAGUUUAGGGUUUAAUUAUUUCUGUUUGUGAUCUAUGUGGUUUGUGUAAAAAAGAGGCUCUGUUUUAGAUUUUCUUAUGUGUUUUUUGUUCUCCUUUCAUGUUUGGAUUAACUAUAUUGAUAAAAUGUCUUGGGAAAAAAUGUUAAUUAGGUUAGGAUAUGACUUCCUGAUAACAGUGCUUUCUCCUUGUUAUCGAUAAUUUACAUAAUCAAUCAUUGAUUCAUGUGAUGUUAUUAUGAUUAUCAUGUAUAUACAAUCUUGCACAAUCUUGCAUUUCUUAGUCCCAGUUCUGUUUUUGAGCAAAGGGGUUGUAUAUCAGAGUUCCCAACUAACACAUCAAAUGUAAAUGCAAUUGUUGGAGGUUCUGCUCUUUGCUUUGGACAUGAUGUUAAAGAGAUGGAUUGCAAACCUGUAGAGGGUAAAGUGGCAGGUGGAAUAAAUGGCCAUAGGGCAUUGGGAUUUCACAACAAGAGAAACCGGACAAUUGGACUUGGCGAGUGUGAGCAACUUGAUCUUGUGUUGACUGAAUCAGUUAUUCGUUGGUCAUCAUGCACCCAACUUCCCACAUCACCGAGAUCAUCUCUUGUCUGUUGAGGGUAGACUUUUGGAGAGAUUGAUAGAAUAGCCUGAUGUGGUGACUAAAUUUGGCCUACUGAUGCAAAUUUACUUAACCCGAUGUAUAUGUUUUCCCAAAUUUUUGCAUUCAUGCUUCUGUCUUCUGCUUGGUGCAAGUUGUGGUUCGGAUCUGUCACUUUAAUCAUGUAAUGACUUCUAAUUGCUCACUAUUAUUGUGUUCCUUUCAUCCUCAUUUACCUUUCCGUGUUUAUUAUCAUGCAUGAGUGUGAGUAAUAGGAAUUCUGCCUGGUUUGUAAAGGAAGUUGUAUCUUGAUGGUACUCCAAAUGCUUGGAAAUGAAUUGUAAAUUCAUGUGUUAAAUUAUUA
This is a long non-coding RNA of Cajanus cajan (pigeon pea), 1281 nucleotides long. RefSeq lists it as uncharacterized. NCBI's taxonomy places the organism in Eukaryota, Viridiplantae, Streptophyta, Magnoliopsida, Fabales, Fabaceae. The record is from RefSeq and is a predicted model, not a curated record.